Molecule: ribosomal RNA, 404 nt
Filed under: uncultured microorganism
Description: bacterial SSU rRNA
Rfam family: Archaeal small subunit ribosomal RNA
Source: RNAcentral
GUGCACCAGGCGCGAAUACUUUACAAUGUGCGAAAGCACGAUAAGGGAACUCUGAGUGCCUCCUAAGGAGGCUGUUCAGGUGUCUAAAAAGCACCUGGAGUAAGGGCUGGGUAAGACCGGUGCCAGCCGCCGCGGUAACACCGGCAGCCCAGGUGGUAGCCACUUUUAUUGGGUCUAAAGCGUCCGUAGCCGGUUGAGUAAGUUCCUUGGGAAAUUUGGCUGCUCAACAGUCAAGCUUCCAGGGAAUACUGCUCGACUUGGGACUGGGAGGGGUCAGAGGUACUCCAGGGGUAGGGUGAAAUCCAUUAAUCCCUGGGGGACCACCGGUAGCGAAGGCGUCUGACCAGACCAGGUCCGACGGUGAGGGACGAAGGCUAGGGUCGCGAACCGGAUUAGAUACCCCC